This 394-nucleotide ribosomal RNA is filed under the name uncultured bacterium. RNAcentral describes it as "bacterial SSU rRNA". It matches the Rfam family "Bacterial small subunit ribosomal RNA", at positions 96 to 524 of the family's 1533-position model. The record is from RNAcentral.
CGGCGGACGGGUUAGUAACGCGUGGGAAUAUGCCCAAAGGUACGGAACAACAGCUGGAAACGGCUGCUAAUACCGUAUGUGCCCUACGGGGGAAAGAUUUAUCGCCUUUGGAUUAGCCCGCGUUGGAUUAGCUAGUUGGUGAGGUAACGGCUCACCAAGGCGACGAUCCAUAGCUGGUUUGAGAGGAUGAUCAGCAACACUGGGACUGAGACACGGCCCAGACUCCUACGGGAGGCAGCAGUGGGGAAUCUUGGACAAUGGGGGCAACCCUGAUCCAGCCAUGCCGCGUGAGCGAUGAAGGCCUUAGGGUUGUAAAGCUCUUUCACCGGUGAAGAUAAUGACGGUAGCCGGAGAAAGAAGCCCCGGCUUACUCCGUGCCAGCAGCCGCGGUAAU